RNAcentral lists this ribosomal RNA (406 nucleotides) under uncultured bacterium. Its description in RNAcentral is "partial 16S ribosomal RNA". It matches the Rfam family "Bacterial small subunit ribosomal RNA", at positions 30 to 526 of the family's 1533-position model. The record is from RNAcentral.
AUUGAACGCUGGCGGCAGGCCUAACACAUGCAAGUCGAACGAGUGGCGGACGGGUGAGUAACGUCUGGGAAACUGCUCGAUGGAGGGGGAUAACUACUGGAAACGGUAGCUAAUACCGCAUACCAUUGGAUGUGCCCAGAGGGGAUUAGCUAGUAGGUGGGGUAACGGCUCACCAAGGCAACGAUCCCUAGCUGGUCUGAGAGGGUGACCAGCCACACUGGAACUGAGACACGGUCCAGACUCCUACGGGAGGCAGCAGUAGGGAAUAUUGCACAAUGGGCGCAAGCCUGAUGCAGCCAUGCCGCGUGUAUGAAGAAGGCCUUCGGAUUGUAAAGUACUUUCAGCGGGGAAGCGUUACUCACAGAGGAAGCCCCGGCUAACUCCGUGCCAGCAGCCGCGGUAAUAC